AUACUUGUGAGGAGAUCUGAUGGAUGGACGAACGGAAGAGCAGGGUCAGAAGUGGUGGCAAAAUUCAAGACCAGCUCACAAAAGCCCACGAGACAUAAAAUAGAGCACCAAGGCCGACAUGGACCGAGCCGGGAGCAGAGGGCCUCAGCAGGACGGGCACUGGGGGCUGAGGACCAGGGGCCUCCAGGUGGAGAGGGGUAGCGAUGGAAGAAGCAGGCGGCCACGGAGUAACAAAUACCUUCAGGAGCACGGGCUGCUCGUAACGAGGGAUGGAACCAGGGCCUUUUGCACUGAGCUGCAUUUCCAGCCUCCUCCCCCCC
RNAcentral lists this long non-coding RNA (320 nucleotides) under Fukomys damarensis (Damara mole-rat). RNAcentral's name for it is "lncRNA (ENSFDAG00000021617.1)". Lineage: Eukaryota; Metazoa; Chordata; Mammalia; Rodentia; Bathyergidae. The record is from RNAcentral.